UACGUAGGGAGCAAGCGUUGUCCGGAAUUAUUGGGCGUAAAGAGCUCGUAGGCGGUUUGUUGCGUCUGCUGUGAAAACUCAGGGCUUAACCCUGAGCUUGCAGUGGGUACGGGCAGACUAGAGUGCGGUAGGGAAGACUGGAAUUCCUGGUGUAGCGGUGAAAUGCGCAGAUAUCAGGAGGAACACCGGUGGCGAAGGCGGGUCUCUGGGCAGUAACUGACGCUGAGAAGCGAAAGCGUGGGGAGCGAACAGG
RNAcentral lists this ribosomal RNA (253 nucleotides) under uncultured bacterium. Its description in RNAcentral is "partial 16S ribosomal RNA". It matches the Rfam family "Bacterial small subunit ribosomal RNA", at positions 524 to 776 of the family's 1533-position model. The record is from RNAcentral.